CCUACGGGAGGCAGCAGUAGGGAAUUUUCGUCAAUGGGCGCAAGCCUGAACGAGCGAUGCCGCGUGAGUGAAGAAGGCCUUCGGGUCGUAAAGCUCUGUUGCGGGGAGCAAUGGCCGGGACGAGUCCCGGCCCGGAGAGUACCCGGAGAAAAAGCAUCGGCUAACUCCGUGCCAGCAGCCGCGGUAAUACGGAGGAUGCGAGCGUUAUCCGGAUUUAUUGGGUUUAAAGGGAGCGUAGGCCGCAUGUUAAGCGUGCCGUGAAAUGCCGUGGCUCAACCAUGGCACUGCGGCGCGAACUGGCUUGCUUGAGUGCGCGGAACGUAUGCGGAAUUCGUGGUGUAGCGGUGAAAUGCUUAGAUAUCAUGAAGAACUCCGAUCGCGAAGGCAAGUGUCCGGGGUGCAACUGACGCUGAGGCUCGAAAGUGCGGGUAUCAAACAGGAUUAGAUACCCUUGUAGUC
RNAcentral lists this ribosomal RNA (459 nucleotides) under uncultured bacterium. RNAcentral's name for it is "partial 16S ribosomal RNA". It matches the Rfam family "Bacterial small subunit ribosomal RNA", at positions 338 to 795 of the family's 1533-position model. The record is from RNAcentral.